This 1896-nucleotide small RNA is filed under the name Arabidopsis thaliana (thale cress). RNAcentral's name for it is "ATSL156320". Lineage: Eukaryota; Viridiplantae; Streptophyta; Magnoliopsida; Brassicales; Brassicaceae. The record is from RNAcentral.
UUAAAUAAAAGAAAAAUCUCUAAUUUUCGAACAAAAAUAUUAACAUGCGGUAUACCGCGGGUCAACCUCUAGAUAAUACAAGUUUUAAAUCUUUAUUACCUCUUAAAAACUCGAACCACAAAAAAAAAAGGAGAUUUACAAAACUACCCUUUUUUUACUACCCUUUUGCAACAAUACCCUUUUAUAUUGUUCAUUUUUAAAAAUUUCUCUUCCCUUGAACAGAAUGACCAAAUUACCCUCAUCUAAUAAGAACAUGUAAUUAGAAACUAAAAGUUUUCUGCCAAAUUUUUUUUCGCGCCAAAAAAAUAUUUCCGCCAAACUUUUUUUCCCGCCAAAAAAUAAUUUUCCCGCUAAAAUUUUUUCUCGUAAAUUUUUUUUCCCAGCCAAAAAAAUGCUUUUAAAAAUCCUUGUAAAUUUUUUUAAAACUCUUUUAAAAAACCUUGUAAAUCAUUUUAAAACCUCUUAAAAUCUUUAUAAAGUCUUUAAAAACAUAGGUAAAUACUUUAAAACCCCUUUUUAAACCUUUGUAAAUCAUUUUAAAACUUUUUACAAUAGUUUUAUAAGAAUUACAAUCGUUUUUUAAGCAUAAGUAAGUAGCAUUGAAUGAUUACAAGGAAUUUUAAAAGCUUAUAAAAGGGUAAAACAUUAUUUACAAUCGUUUUUAAAGCAUAAGUAAGUGGCAUAGAAUGAUUUACAAGGAUUUUUAAAAAGGGUUAGCAUGGUUUACAAUGUUUUUUUAAGUAUAAGUAAGUGGUAUUGGAAUGAUUUACAAGGGAUUUUAAAAGCUUAUAAAAGGGUAAAACAUGAUUUACGAUCGUUUUUAAAGCAUAAGUAAGUGGCAUAGAAUGAUUUACAAGGGAUUUUAAAAGUGUUUGUAUGGUUUACAAUCGUUUUAAAGCAUAAAGAAGUGGCAUUGAAUGAUUUACAAGGGAUUUUAAAAGAGGUUAACAUGAUUUACAAUCGUUUUUAAAGCAUAAGUAAGUGUCAAAAAAUAAUUUACAAGGGAUUUUAAAAAAGGUUUGCAUGGUUUACAAUCGUUUUUAAAAGAUAAGUAAGUGGUAUAGAAUGAUUUACAAGGAUUGUAAAAGCUUAUAAAAAGGUAAAACAUGAUUUACAAGAGUUUUUAAAGAGUUUUAAAAGGAUUUACAAGGAUUUUAAACCUUUGUAAAUCCUUUUAAAACUCUUAUAAAGUCUUUACAAGCAUUUUUUAACUCUUAGAAAAAGAAUUGUAAGUAUUUAAAACAUUUACAACUCUUUUUGAACCAUUUUAAAACUCUUGUAAACCUUUACAAAAGGUUUUAAAAAGAUUUAUAAGAGUUUUUAAAGGGUUUUCUUAUAAUUUCUUUAAAAUCUUUUAAAAACUCUUGUACAUCUUUUAAAACACUUUAAAAAUCUCUUGUAAAUAUUUUAAAACACUUUUAAACACUUUAAAAAUCUUUUAAAAUCUCUUGUAAGUUUUUUAAAGCCCUUUAAAAUCCCUUGUAAAAAUUUUAAAACCCUUUUAAAAUCUCUUAUAAAUCUUUUAAACCCUUUUAAAAUCUUUUGUAAAUCUUUUAAAAUAUUUUAAAAUCCUUUUAAAAUCUCUUGUAAAUCUAUUUCCCGCCAAAAAAAAAAAUACGGGAAAAAUGUUUUCGAAAUUUAUUUUUGGCGAGAAAUUUUUUGGCGGAAAAUUUUUUUCCGAAAUUUUUUGGCGGGAAAAUUUUGGCAGGAAAUUUUAUUUUGGAAUAUUUUAGGCGAAAAAUAUAAAUAUUUCAUUUUGUUAACCUAAAUCAAUUUACAAAUAGGGGUAAAAUGGUCAUUAAAAAUUUAAAUCGGAUAUAAAUGAAAAUGGUAAAUAGAAAAAGUAGAAUUGAAAAGGGUUAGUGUGAAAAGGCAUUACAAAGAAUUUUUCCAAAA